CACGUAAGGGGCAAGCGUUGUUCGGAAUUAUUGGGCGUAAAGGGCGUGUAGGCGGUUCUGCAAGCCUGGUGUUAAAUACCACAGCUUAACUGUGGGAAAGCGCUGGGAACUGCGGGACUAGAGUUUAGGAGGGGAAGCUAGAAUUCCAGGUGUAGGGGUGAAAUCUGUAGAUAUCUGGAAGAAUACCAGUGGCGAAGGCGAGCUUCUGGCCAUAGACUGACGCUGAUGCGCGAAAGCGUGGGGAGCGAACAGGAUUAGAUACCCUGGUAGUCCACGCUGUAAACGAUGUGCACUAGGUGUUGGGCAGGAUUGUUCAGUGCCGUAGCAAACGCGUUAAGUGCACCGCCUGGGGAGUAUGCUCGCAAGGGUGAA
This 372-nucleotide ribosomal RNA is filed under the name uncultured bacterium. Its description in RNAcentral is "bacterial SSU rRNA". It matches the Rfam family "Bacterial small subunit ribosomal RNA", at positions 524 to 898 of the family's 1533-position model. The record is from RNAcentral.